Molecule: unclassified non-coding RNA, 191 nt
Filed under: uncultured fungus
Lineage: Eukaryota; Fungi
Description: sequence contains ITS1
Source: RNAcentral
UUAACUUAUUGUAUAGUACUCAGACGACAGCAUUCAGAGUUUGGGGGUCUCUGGCGAGCGCUGGCCAGCUGACGCCGGCAGCCGCGAGGCAGGCUCGCCAAAGCAACAAGGUGUGGUAAGCAAAGGGUGGGAGAUCUACCCCGAAGGGCAAGUUCUCUUUAGUGAUCCUUCCGCAGGUUCACCUACGGAAA